CUGCGCCUACGGGGGGCAGCAGUGGGGAAUAUUGCACAAUGGGGGAAACCCUGAUGCAGCGACGCCGCGUGAGUGAAGAAGCGCCUCGGCGCGUAAAGCUCUGUCAGCAGGAACGAUAAUGACGGUACCUGAAGAAGAAGCCCCGGCUAACUACGUGCCAGCAGCCGCGGUAAUACGUAGGGGGCAAGCGUUAUCCGGAUUUACUGGGUGUAAAGGGAGCGUAGACGGUUAUGCAAGUCUGAAGUGAAAGCCCAAGGCUCAACCAUGGGACUGCUUUGGAAACUGUAAAACUGGAGUGCAGGAGG
Molecule: ribosomal RNA, 305 nt
Filed under: uncultured bacterium
Lineage: Bacteria
Description: bacterial SSU rRNA
Rfam family: Bacterial small subunit ribosomal RNA
Source: RNAcentral